GGAAUUAGAAACCCCAUACAUACGACAUACGCCCUUUCUCUCUCCUCUUUUCCUCUCUGCCUCCUAUUUUCAUUUCUCUUCAUCAACUUAGGGUUUUCUCGCCUUCUCUCUUUCGUUGUAAAGCAAGUUAUCAUUUUCUUCAAAUUGAGCGUCAUAUAUCAGUAGCUUUUCGUGAACAACAACUAGCAGUUUUUUAUGGAAGACGCUGCUGUAGCGAUUUCAGAAGCCUCAGUUCGCCGUUCGAUUGAUAAGUUUCAACACUACUUCUCUCUCUCCUCACUUUCUCUCUCUUUUCUGCUUCAAUCAUGUCAAUAAUGGUGGAUUUGUGUGCUUAGAAAAGAAAUAGAGGUGCGAAGUUGAUUCCUAACCUAAAUGAAGUACUUGUGUUCUAGUUUUGAGUCAUAGAUUUCCUAAUCAUAAGCUAGUUGUUUUUUUAAUAAGAUUGAUGAGAAAUUAGGUUUUUUUCUUCGGUUGUUGGUGGUUUAGCAUCGUAAGCUGUUCUAUGGUUUUUGAAGGUAUUUUUGCGACGAAUCAGAGCUUCAGGGGUUCGGAGACGCUACUGCUGUCGAUUAGACAUAAGGUUCCAUCGCUAGAGAGUCCAGGAAGAAAGAUGAUAUGGUUUUCACAUGAUUUUUUAUUGGUUUAAGUGAUUUCAUCUUCUUUGACAGACCUUUAAAUGACAUCUAACUACUCUUAUGAGUUGCUGCUCGUACUUAAAUUUAAAGCAAAACUCAAUAAUUGAUGAUGAGUUCCCUUUCAAAAGGAAAUUGAAAAGGAUUUCCCAUCUUGAUCUUGAUAGAGAAGAUUCUGACGACGUUCUUGAGGAUGUUCGCCUGAAAUUUAAGCGCAAUCGUGUUGUUGGAGCUGCAACCGCUGUUAAAUUUGACCAUAUUAGCUUGAUUGGUACAUCGUCUUGACAGAGAAAGUAGUGGGAUCCUCUUGAUGGGGAGGACAAAGGAGAGCGCUUUUUAUCUUCAACAAUUGUUCAUCAUCAUUAAUGUGGCAAAAACAUCUUGUCUGUCCUGGAAUGAUGCUUGUGGAGCAACUUUCAUGAGAUAUUGGGCAUUGGUUGUUGGGUCCCCUAGAGAAAAGGAAGGUGUAAUAUGUGCUCCUCUCACAAAGGUUCUCUCUCAAACACACCUCUCCCUCCCUUAAAAACAAGUGCUGUUGGUGCAUCUUUGUUGACGUUUAAGGUUCAUGUUAAUUUGACAAAAGUUUUCUGCAUGUCCUUCUUGAUGACGGGAAAACUGAGAGGGUCAUGCUGGCUCAUCCAUCAGGUUUAGAAGCUUCUCAAGAAGCUGACCGAGUAUCGAGUGCUUGUCCCUAUGAUCAAUGGGUGUUCGUGGAUUGAGCUACGCCCACUUACCAGUCGGAAACAUCAGUUCCACGUAUCGUCCCAUGUGGUUGAACCACCUGAUCUUUCUUCUUCAUUCUUCUGCAGUAACCAAAGAUUUUGGAAAACCAAUGGAUGCAGCUGAACAUGCUGCAGUGAAGUUUCUACUAUUUAUACGACAUGGGAUUUGCUGCCUUCAAAUUCUACCUUAUGUCAGAAAUCAAUAUAAUGUGUUACUAUAAUAUGAGUUUGUGGCGAUGUUGGAAUUACAAAGUCAUGAGAUAUAUGGAAAAGCCUACAUAUAUUAUGCGAGUUCCUAAAAAAUCAACUCCUGAAGAUUAUAUAGAGCUAGUAUUGCCAAUACUAUUGAGACGAUGUGAUGUAGCUCGACUUCCGGCAUGGCUUCAACUAUAAGUUUUGUAGAAGGGAGCAUUGAUGUUUCAAGGAAAAGAAUGGAUGUUGAGUGCUUGGACAUGAUUCAAUUCCACUGGUGGGACUAGGCCAAUACUGGGUAUCUUGAUGCAUUGAAAAAUCUUACGGAUCUGAAAGAUGAAGGAAAAAUUAAGACCGUGGCUCUUACAAAUUUUGAUACGGAAAGGUUGCGCAUAAUUCUUGAAAAUGAGAUUCCUGUUGUUAGCAACCAGGUGCAACAUUCACUUAUCGACAUGCGUCCUCAGUGGAGAAUGGCAAAGCUUUGUCAGCAAACAUGAGUCAAACUUAUAACGUAUGGAACAGUUAUGGGUGGGCUUCUAUCUAAGAAAUUCCUCGAUACGAACUUGGCCAUUCCUUUGUCAGAACACUUGAGUGCUUGUUGCUUACUUCAGCUAUAGUUGCACCUUAUUGCAGUAUUUGGAUUGCAUUGCAGGCUGGUGCUGCAGUUUGGUGCAUGGGAUUCCAAAAAUUCUGAUGUCCUUAUAACAUUUAAGGAAUACGUUCAUAUGGAUAUAUUAGUUUAUCUUAAUGUUAAUUGUUAUUUAUUUGUACUAUAUUUUGUAUUUAUGAACAAAAAUAUUAGAAAUGAAACUUUUAUCUACAUGUAAA
Beta vulgaris subsp. vulgaris (sugar beet) is the source of this 2374-nucleotide long non-coding RNA. RefSeq lists it as uncharacterized. The record is from RefSeq and is a predicted model, not a curated record. NCBI's taxonomy places the organism in Eukaryota, Viridiplantae, Streptophyta, Magnoliopsida, Caryophyllales, Amaranthaceae. The transcript has 11 exons.